GAUGAACGCUGGCGGCGUGCCUAAUACAUGCAAGUCGAGCGAACAGACGAUGAGCUUGCUCCUUUGACGUUAGCGGCGGACGGGUGAGUAACACGUGGAUCACCUACCUAUAAGACUGGGAUAACUUCGGGAAACCGGAGCUAAUACCGGAUAAUAUAUUGAACCGCAUGGUUCAAUAGUGAAAGACGGUUUUGCUGUCACUUAUAGAUGGAUCCGCGCCGCAUUAGCUAGUUGGUAAGGUACCGCCUUACCAAGGCAACGAUGCGUAGCCGACCUGAGGGGGGGGUCGGCCACAACGGAAGUGGGGAGACGUCCUAGAGACUUAGGGAGGCAGCAGGAGGGGAACUUACGGAAUGGGGGGAAGCCUGACGGAGCAACCGCGCCGGGGUGAUGAAGGUCUUCCGGUCGGAAAAAUCUGGUUUUGGGGGAAAAAAAAAGGGGAAGGUAAUAAGCCCGUUGUGACGGUACCAAAUAAAGAAGCCACCGCUAAAUACGUG
Molecule: ribosomal RNA, 497 nt
Filed under: uncultured bacterium
Lineage: Bacteria
Description: partial 16S ribosomal RNA
Rfam family: Bacterial small subunit ribosomal RNA
Source: RNAcentral